Long non-coding RNA from Talpa occidentalis (Iberian mole), 223 nucleotides. RefSeq lists it as uncharacterized. NCBI's taxonomy places the organism in Eukaryota, Metazoa, Chordata, Mammalia, Eulipotyphla, Talpidae. The transcript is spliced from 3 exons. The record is from RefSeq and is a predicted model, not a curated record.
AUAAUGCAAGAUGAAAACUCAGAUGUCAAUGUCAACAUCUAAAAAUUCUGGAAAAAUAAUCACUAGGGAAUAAUGAAGUACUGACCAAUUUACCCACAUCAUUCCAUCCCGGACAAGAAGGAAUAAAACAAGUUGUUUUCGCUUGUGAUGUUUGAAUACUGACCAAGGCAGAGAUAUUUCUUCAUCAAAUUCCUUGGUCAUCAAGAAAGCAAUUUUUGGUUGG